AUUGAACGCUGGCGGCAGGCCUAACACAUGCAAGUCGAGCGAGUGGCGGACGGGUGAGUAAUGUCUGGGAAACUGCCUGAUGGAGGGGGAUAACUACUGGAAACGGUAGCUAAUACCGCAUUCCAUCGGUUGUGCCCAGAUGGGAUUAGCUAGUAGGUGGGGUAAAGGCUCACCUGGGCGACGAUCCCUAGCUGGUCUGAGAGGAUGACCAGCAACACUGGAACUGAGACACGGUCCAGACUCCUACGGGAGGCAGCAGUGGGAAAUAUUGGAAAAUGGGCGCAAGCCGGAUGCAGCAAUGCGGCGGGUGUGAAGAGGGCCUUCGGGUGGUAAGGCACGUUCAGCGAGGAGGCGGUACUCGCAGAAGAAGCACAGGCUAACUCCGUGCCAGCAGCCGCGGUAAUAC
Molecule: ribosomal RNA, 406 nt
Filed under: uncultured bacterium
Lineage: Bacteria
Description: partial 16S ribosomal RNA
Rfam family: Bacterial small subunit ribosomal RNA
Source: RNAcentral